AUUGAACGCUGGCGGCAGGCCUAACACAUGCAAGUCGAGCGGAUGAAGGGAGCUUGCUCCUGGAUUCAGCGGCGGACGGGUGAGUAAUGCCUAGGAAUCUGCCUGGUAGUGGGGGAUAACGUCCGGAAACGGGCGCUAAUACCGCAUACGUCCUGAGGUAGAAAGUGGGGGAUCUUCGGACCUCACGCUAUCAGAUGAGCCUAGGUCGGAUUAGCUAGUUGGUGGGGUAAAGGCCUACCAAGGCGACGAUCCGUAACUGGACUGAGAGGAUGAUCAGUCACACUGGAACUGAGACACGGUCCAGACUCCUACGGGAGGCAGCAGUGGGGAAUAUUGGACAAUGGGCGAAAGCCUGAUCCAGCCAUGCCGCGUGUGUGAAGAAGGUCUUCGGAUUGUAAAGCACUUUAAGUUGGGAGGAAGGGCAGUAAGUUAAUACCUUGCUGUUUUGACGUUACCAACAGAAUAAGCACCGGCUAACUUCGUG
This 484-nucleotide ribosomal RNA is filed under the name uncultured bacterium. RNAcentral's name for it is "partial 16S ribosomal RNA". It matches the Rfam family "Bacterial small subunit ribosomal RNA", at positions 30 to 507 of the family's 1533-position model. The record is from RNAcentral.